RNAcentral lists this unclassified non-coding RNA (236 nucleotides) under Hevea brasiliensis (rubber tree). Lineage: Eukaryota; Viridiplantae; Streptophyta; Magnoliopsida; Malpighiales; Euphorbiaceae. The record is from RNAcentral.
CUGAAACUUCAUUAAAACCGGAAGGGAGACUCUGUGACCUGAUAUUUGUUGGGAAACAAGGCCUGUUUAUUGAAGAACUACAGUUGUAUUCAGACAAAGACUGUGAAACUGAAGAGAAAUCUCUUGAAUUGUAAUAGCUUUGCGAGAUUCCUCUGUAUACAACUGCGUCGUCUUCAUUUUGGCCAUCAAGGUUGUCAUUUAUAUGGCACCCCACUAAAUACCCAGCAAUGUCAGCU